Molecule: ribosomal RNA, 255 nt
Filed under: uncultured bacterium
Lineage: Bacteria
Description: partial 16S ribosomal RNA
Rfam family: Bacterial small subunit ribosomal RNA
Source: RNAcentral
UACGUAGGUGGCGACCGUUAUCCGGAAUUAUUGGGCGUAAAGGAUGCGUAGAUGGUGUAGUAAGUUAUCGGUGGCAAAUCGAGGCUCAACCUCGUGGAAGUCGGUAAUACUGCUAUGCUAGAGGAUAGGAGAGGUUAACGGAACUCCCUGUGGAGCGGUGAAAUGCGUAGAUAUAGGGAAGAACACCAAUCAGGCGAAGGCAGUUAACUAUUCUAUUCCUGACAUUGAGGCAUGAAAGCGUGGGGAGCAAAACGG